CGCAAUGGGCGAAAGCCUGACGGAGCAAGACCGCGUGGGGGAGGAAGGUUCUUGGAUUGUCAACCCCUUUUCUCAGGGAAGAAGAAAGUGACGGUACCUGAGGAAGAAGCAUCGGCUAACUCCGUGCCAGCAGCCGCGGUAAUACGGGGGCCCCAAGCGUUAUCCGGAAUUAUUGGGCGUAAAGGGUGUGUAGGCGGUUCUAUUAGUCUUCUGUAAAAUUCUUCGGCUUAACCGGGGACUUGCAGAGGAAACGGUAGAACUUGAGGAUGCGAGGGGUUUGCGGAACUCAUAGUGUAGGGGUGAAAUCCGUUGAUAUUAUGGGGAACACCAAAAGCGAAGGCAGCAAACUGGCGCACUCCUGACGCUGAAACACGAAAGCGU
RNAcentral lists this ribosomal RNA (381 nucleotides) under uncultured organism. RNAcentral describes it as "bacterial SSU rRNA". It matches the Rfam family "Bacterial small subunit ribosomal RNA", at positions 367 to 762 of the family's 1533-position model. The record is from RNAcentral.